MicroRNA precursor from Chrysemys picta bellii (western painted turtle), 91 nucleotides. Lineage: Eukaryota; Metazoa; Chordata; Testudines; Emydidae. The record is from Ensembl.
UCCAGGGCAGCAGGAGGGACGGGAUGCUGUGCAGUGUUGUUCUAUCACCAACCAAUAUUGCACUCGUCCCGGCCUCCUGCCUCCUUGGGCU